GGUGACCUGCGGAAGGAUCAUUACCGAGUGCGGGUCCUUUGGGCCCAACCUCCCAUCCGUGUCUAUUAUACCCUGUUGCUUCGGCGGGCCCGCCGCUUGUCGGCCGCCGGGGGGGCGCCUUUGCCCCCCGGGCCCGUGCCCGCCGGAGACCCCAACACGAACACUGUCUGAAAGCGUGCAGUCUGAGUUGAUUGAAUGCAAUCAGUUAAAACUUUCAACAAUGGAUCUCUUGGUUCCGGCAUCGAUGAAGAACGCAGCGAAAUGCGAUAACUAAUGUGAAUUGCAGAAUUCAGUGAAUCAUCGAGUCUUUGAACGCACAUUGCGCCCCCUGGUAUUCCGGGGGGCAUGCCUGUCCGAGCGUCAUUGCUGCCCUCAAGCCCGGCUUGUGUGUUGGGUCGCCGUCCCCCUCUCCGGGGGGACGGGCCCGAAAGGCAGCGGCGGCACCGCGUCCGAUCCUCGAGCGUAUGGGGCUUUGUCACAUGCUCUGUAGGAUUGGCCGGCGCCUGCCGACGUUUUCCAACCAUUUUUUCCAGGUUGACCUCGGAUCAGGUAGGGAUACCCGCUGAACUUAAGCAUAUCAAUAAGCGGAGGAAAAGAAACCAACCGGGAUUGCCUCAGUAACGGCGAGUGAAGCGGCAAGAGCUCAAAUUUGAAAGCUGGCUCCUUCGGAGUCCGCAUUGUAAUUUGCAGAGGAUGCUUUGGGUGCGGCCCCCGUCUAAGUGCCCUGGAACGGGCCGUCAGAGAGGGUGAGAAUCCCGUCUUGGGCGGGG
RNAcentral lists this ribosomal RNA (770 nucleotides) under fungal sp. RNAcentral describes it as "eukaryotic LSU rRNA". The stretch from base 536 to 770 matches the Rfam family "Eukaryotic large subunit ribosomal RNA", at positions 1 to 233 of the family's 3401-position model. Lineage: Eukaryota; Fungi. The record is from RNAcentral.